AGUCGAACGGUAACAGGCCGCAAGGUGCUGACGAGUGGCGAACGGGUGAGUAAUGCAUCGGAACGUGCCCAGUCGUGGGGGAUAACGCAGCGAAAGCUGUGCUAAUACCGCAUACGAUCUAUGGAUGAAAGCGGGGGACCGUAAGGCCUCGCGCGAUUGGAGCGGCCGAUGUCAGAUUAGGUAGUUGGUGGGGUAAAGGCCUACCAAGCCAACGAUCUGUAGCUGGUCUGAGAGGACGACCAGCCACACUGGGACUGAGACACGGCCCAGACUCCUACGGGAGGCAGCAGUGGGGAAUUUUGGACAAUGGGCGCAAGCCUGAUCCAGCAAUGCCGCGUGCAGGAAGAAGGCCUUCGGGUUGUAAACUGCUUUUGUACGGAACGAAACGGUCUGGGUUAAU
Molecule: ribosomal RNA, 400 nt
Filed under: bacterium HYT
Lineage: Bacteria
Description: bacterial SSU rRNA
Rfam family: Bacterial small subunit ribosomal RNA
Source: RNAcentral